Non-coding RNA from Rattus norvegicus (Norway rat), 69 nucleotides. NCBI's taxonomy places the organism in Eukaryota, Metazoa, Chordata, Mammalia, Rodentia, Muridae. The record is from Rfam.
GGGGAUUUAGCUCAGUGGUAGAGCGCUUGCCUAGCAAGCAUAAGGCCCUGGGUUCGGUCCCCAGCUCCG